This 590-nucleotide ribosomal RNA is filed under the name Roseomonas gilardii. RNAcentral describes it as "bacterial SSU rRNA". It matches the Rfam family "Bacterial small subunit ribosomal RNA", at positions 152 to 774 of the family's 1533-position model. The record is from RNAcentral. Lineage: Bacteria; Pseudomonadati; Pseudomonadota; Alphaproteobacteria; Acetobacterales; Roseomonadaceae.
GGAAACUGGGGCUAAUACCGCAUAGGGGCUGAGGCCCAAAGCCGAAAGGCGCCUUUGGAGCGGCCUGCGUCCGAUUAGGUAGUUGGUGGGGUAAAGGCCUACCAAGCCUGCGAUCGGUAGCUGGUCUGAGAGGACGACCAGCCACACUGGGACUGAGACACGGCCCAGACUCCUACGGGAGGCAGCAGUGGGGAAUAUUGGACAAUGGGCGAAAGCCUGAUCCAGCAAUGCCGCGUGGGUGAAGAAGGUCUUCGGAUCGUAAAGCCCUUUCGACGGGGACGAUGAUGACGGUACCCGUAGAAGAAGCCCCGGCUAACUUCGUGCCAGCAGCCGCGGUAAUACGAAGGGGGCUAGCGUUGCUCGGAAUUACUGGGCGUAAAGGGCGCGUAGGCGGCGGCCCAAGUCAGGCGUGAAAUUCCUGGGCUCAACCUGGGGACUGCGCUUGAUACUGGGUUGCUUGAGGAUGGAAGAGGCUCGUGGAAUUCCCAGUGUAGAGGUGAAAUUCGUAGAUAUUGGGAAGAACACCGGUGGCGAAGGCGGCGAGCUGGUCCAUUACUGACGCUGAGGCGCGACAGCGUGGGGAGCAAACA